AUCCUAGUGGACAAAUUGGUAAAGUCAACACCCUUUCACGGUGUGGUUUAGGGGUUCAAGUCCCCUCUAGGAUGCCA
Molecule: transfer RNA, 77 nt
Filed under: Serratia phage Slocum
Lineage: Duplodnaviria; Heunggongvirae; Uroviricota; Caudoviricetes; Demerecviridae
Description: tRNA-Glu
Rfam family: tRNA
About the family: Transfer RNA (tRNA) molecules are approximately 80 nucleotides in length.
Source: RNAcentral